RNAcentral lists this transfer RNA (72 nucleotides) under Erinaceus europaeus (western European hedgehog). It matches the Rfam family "tRNA". From Rfam's summary of the family: Transfer RNA (tRNA) molecules are approximately 80 nucleotides in length. Their secondary structure includes four short double-helical elements and three loops (D, anti-codon, and T loops). Lineage: Eukaryota; Metazoa; Chordata; Mammalia; Eulipotyphla; Erinaceidae. The record is from Rfam by way of RNAcentral.
GGGGAGUUUGCUCAGUAGGUAGAGCACAGGACUUGCAUCCCUAAGGCCCUGGGUUCCAUCCCUGACACCAUA